GGCAAAAUACUAUUGAAUAGAUACAAAAUUCGUUUAGCAACAGCAGGUAGAUCGUUAGACCAACAUAAUCUACCUUGCAACCUAACCUCAGUAAUUCCAUUCUCCUCCAAACAUUUUUUUUUAAAAUCGGUUGUGAAUUACUAUAUUUCUCAUCUUUACAAAGAGUUGAAACGGCUUCUUCUGAGAACUACUCCCAGAUGAUUCCACCUAUUUUCAAACUUGACCUGAAGAAUUCGAUACUUCAUCGAAUAAAAAAAAAGUUUUUGAAAAUCCUUUGAGAUUUACUCAAGUUAUCGUGCACCACUCAUCUCUCCUCCACGAGACCAAUUUUGGUCACGCAGCAUUCUGGAAAACAAUGAAUCACCAUACUUCGUACGGG
Bradysia coprophila is the source of this 379-nucleotide long non-coding RNA. NCBI's taxonomy places the organism in Eukaryota, Metazoa, Arthropoda, Insecta, Diptera, Sciaridae. The record is from RefSeq and is a predicted model, not a curated record.